CCAGGAAGCGCCUGCGCGGAGCAGUGGGAAGGUCACGGCCCGGCCGGGCCCUAGCUGUGCUCCGGCCCACGCCAAACUGGAGGACCCUGCUUAAUCCAAGAUCGCCAAUGAGGAGUCAGUAGAGUCCUGAGAGUCAGUUCUAACGCUUCAAGAGGAUUUUAACUCUCUUUCCCCUCUCAGUCCCCAGGAACUCAUGCUCCGCUCGACGUUGGCUUCCGCGGAACAUGAACCUACAAGCUUGAAGCCGCCCCUUCUCCCCACCGCCAGCCCUCACCAGUGUAGUGUGCCUGUCCUCAGUUGAAAGAUGAGCCAAGUGAGAAUGUUGGAUGAAGGAACCAAAUUGAUAUUCAUCAUCCUAUUGAAAACAACUCAGAUCCACAGGUCUUCUGAUGGCAGUCUGUGGCUGAACCAUGUGAAUGAAAGUUGGGCAGGUUCAAGGAAAAGGCAGGAAGUGGGCUUUCUUUGUCACAAGGAAAAGCCAGGAGAUGUGCCCAAGGGAAUGAGGAAAGGCUGGAAGAAUCUCAUGGAGAAAAUUGGUCUGGCAGGGCACAUAGGAUUGUUGGCAACAGUGGUUCCUGAGUCAAUGAGUCGACAGCAUGAUUUCAGCACUGCCUUUGUUCAAAGACAUAGACUGCAACUCAGUAGGAAUAUAGAACUACCAUGGGCCACACAUGUGCAAGACUUUCCUGCCAGUCAGGGGACCAGAGAAAUGCUGGUCUCGCAGAGCCAGCUAGCGUGUCUCUACAUGAAGAUGGCAGCGGACACCUUUUUGAGAACAAGGAAAUCCCAGCGGAAGGAAGGAUCUAUCAGUUGCUCCUGUUUCAUGCCAAGAAUUCUAAUUUAUGUGGUUGGGGUUAUAAUAACCCCCAUUUCACAGUGAUGAAGAGGGUAAGACAUUAUUCCACGGCCACAUGCAGCUGGAGGAGAGAAGGUAUAUGGAAAUAUUCCUUAUGAGUGACACAAAGUGCUAUAUGAAUUCUGAGAAAAAUAAAAUUUUCAAAAGACUUGAUCA
This 1012-nucleotide long non-coding RNA is filed under the name Sus scrofa (pig). RNAcentral's name for it is "lncRNA (ENSSSCG00050002876.1)". The record is from RNAcentral. Lineage: Eukaryota; Metazoa; Chordata; Mammalia; Artiodactyla; Suidae.